CCUACGGGUGGCAGCAGUGGGGAAUAUUGCACAAUGGGGGAAACCCUGAUGCAGCGACGCCGCGUGAGUGAAGAAGUAAUUCGUUACGUAAAGCUCUAUCAGCAGGGAAGAAAUACUGACCUUACGGUCAGCAGACGGUACCUGAGUAAGAAGCCACGGCUAACUACGUGCCAGCAGCCGCGGUAAUACGUAGGGGGCAAGCGUUAUCCGGAUUUACUGGGUGUAAAGGGAGCGUAGACGGUUCGCCAAGUCUGGAGUGAAAUGCCGCGGCUUAACUGCGGAACUGCGUUGGAAACUGGCGAGCUAGAGUGCGGGAGAGGUGAGCAGAAUUCCUAGUGUAGCGGUGAAAUGCGUAGAGAUGAGGAGGAACACCGGUGGCGAAGGCGGCUUACUGGACCAAAACUGACGUUGAGGCGCGAAAGCGUGGGGAGCAAACAGGAUUAGAUACCCGUGUAGUC
Molecule: ribosomal RNA, 458 nt
Filed under: uncultured bacterium
Lineage: Bacteria
Description: partial 16S ribosomal RNA
Rfam family: Bacterial small subunit ribosomal RNA
Source: RNAcentral